AUCAGCAGGGAAGAUUGUGACGGUACUUGAGUAAGAAGCCCCAUCUAAUUACUUGCCAGCAGCAGCGGUAAUAAUUAGGAGGCUAGCAUUAUCAUCAUUUAUUGGGUGUAAAGGGAGGGUAGUCGGAGUGCCAAGUAUUAUGUGAAAGGCGGGGGCUCAACCCCUGGAACGCAUCGGAAACUGUCAGUCUUGAGUGCCGGAGAGGUAAGCGGAAUUCGUAGUGUAGUCGGUGAAAUGCGUAGAUAUUAUGGAGGAACAACCAGUGGCGAAGGCGGCUUCACUGGUCGGUAACUGACGUUGAGGCUCGAAAGCGUGGGGAGCAUACACACGAUUAGAUAACCCUGGUAGUCCACACAGUAAACGCUGAAUACUAGGUGUUGGGGAGCGAAGCUCUUCGGUGCCGCCGCAAACGCAUUAAGUAUUAUACUCGGUGAGUACGUUCGCAAGAACGAAAAUCAAAGGAAUCGUCGGGGAUCCGCACAAGUGGUGGAGCAUGUGGUUUACUUCGAAGCAACGCGAAGAACGCAGCCAAGUAUUGACAUCCCUGUGUUCGUUCCCUAACCGGAACUGUCUUUCGGGACAGAGGAGACAGGCGGUGCAUGGUAGUCGUCAGCUCGUGUCGUGAGAGGCUGGGGUAAGUCUCGCAACGAGCGCAACCCCUAUUCCCAGUAGCCAGCAGUUAGGGUGGGCACUAUGAGGAGACUGCCCGUGAUAACAUGGAGGAAGGCGGGGAUGACGUCACAUCAUCAUGCCCCUUCUGAUAUGGGGCACACACGGGAUGCAAUGGGGUAAACAAAGGGAAGUGAGCGGGCGAAGGUAAGCAAAUCCCAAAAAUAACGUCCCAGUUGGGACUGCAGUCUGCAACUCGUCUGCCAGAAGCGGGAAUCGUUAGUAAUCGCGGAUCAGAAUGCAGCGGGGAAUACGUUCCCGUCUCGUGCACUCACCGCCCGUCA
This 953-nucleotide ribosomal RNA is filed under the name uncultured bacterium. Its description in RNAcentral is "bacterial SSU rRNA". It matches the Rfam family "Bacterial small subunit ribosomal RNA", at positions 453 to 1399 of the family's 1533-position model. The record is from RNAcentral.